AAUAAUUUAACUUGUAAGAACAGACAGCCUCUAUGCUGAAGCUGACAAGAGAAGAGCAGCUUCAUGCUGUGGCUCUAAUGAGCUUGCCUAUGUUAAUUCCUGAAAAUUGACUUGUUUAUGAACUCCAUCCCUUUCCCAUGGUGCUUAUUGCUUAAUGGCCUUGUUAACAUAACAGUGCUGUUGAUCUUGUCGAUCACAGGACUGCCAGGUAUUACCAAAUACACUGGUAAAAAUACAAAAAUGUGGAAGAUUUCCUACAGCUGUGAUCCUCUGAACCACCUCUUGGGUAUCGUCAGCAAAUUUUUUCUUCCUUCAAAUUAUUAGAGGACCACUGGUUUUAAGCUCACUGCAGUGACCUGGGGAAUUUGUGGACUGAUAAAAUUAUUGCAGGAUAAAUGCAGAAAGUAAACAGAGCCUAUAAGGAGCUCAGAACAGAUGUAGGCAUUCAGCAACUAGGGUCUGUUUGCCUUCGUAAUCUGUGCAGUUAUUGUGAUUGAGGACACAUCUGAUAAAACAUUUCCUUUCCUACUUACAGUGUACUACUAAUAGAUUCAAGCAGAGAAAGGUACUUCAUGAUUGUAAUGGAAUUUCCAAGCAGAAAACCCAAACAUUUUGCUAGAUCGGGGCUCCUUUAAGUCUCAUUUUAUUUAGAAGUGGACAAUUGCAUGUAUCAGCUAUUCCUUUGUUCACUGAAACAAUCUUUAGGUCUACAUCAGAGGAUGUCAGCUUUAGUUCCUUCCUUUGAAUUCUGAGAAGUGUGCAUUUAGUUACCUUAUGCUGUUACUUUGACCUUAUGAGUUACCUUACUUCAGUGUAUCUUUUUGCCCUUCACUUAAGUGACCCCUUUUUAACAGCAUUUAUUCAUGUUUAUUCGGCAUAAACUGAUGGAACUUUUUUUAUAUAAGCAUUAUGUAGCUCUAACAGCCUUCUGCUAUUGCAAUAUUUUCCACUAUAAAGUAUGAGUAACUACCCUGAGUUGACACAGUUGUCAGAGAAGACAGAGAAGAGCCAGUAAACAAUUAAGAUUUGCAAGUGGACUUUGAAUACUGUGUUUAUGACAUCCUUCAGUCACGAGCAAAACAGGCACUGAAGUCCUAAGGCCUCACAAUAGGGUUCAUGCUGAAUCUGUGUUCUGCCCCCAUCCUUGCAUUAUUUGCACGUUACAAAUCUCCUUAGCAGGUGUUACCAGAAUGUAAUUUCUGACAGCCACAAUUCCACGUCCUUUGGGAUUGUGGCAUUGUGUUAGCGGUUUUUUAUGUAGUUUUGGUUUUUGUUUUCCCCCCAAGAAGUAUCUAC
RNAcentral lists this long non-coding RNA (1296 nucleotides) under Taeniopygia guttata (zebra finch). Its description in RNAcentral is "lncRNA (ENSTGUG00000020440.1)". The record is from RNAcentral. Lineage: Eukaryota; Metazoa; Chordata; Aves; Passeriformes; Estrildidae.